UCAUGGCAUAUACCAACCACACCACACACAAACACACACAUAAUUUAUCACUAAGCUAUGGAGAAGAAAACACUAGCAGGCUUAUGCUUCCUCUUCCUCGUUCUCUUUGUUGCACAAGAAAUUGUGGUGACUGAAGCUAAGACUUGUGAGAAUUUGGCUGAUAAAUACAGGGGACCAUGCUUUAGUGGUUGUGAUACUCACUGCACUACCAAAGAGAAUGCAGUUAGCGGCAGGUGCAGGGAUGACUUUCGUUGUUGGUGUACUAAAAACUGUUAAAUGGAUUUUCUCCAACACCAAGAUGCAUGAAAUACACUUUAUAAUAUAACUAAAUAAAUAAAAUGCGUCGAUUAUAUAUAUGUGUACUCAAUAAUAUCGUGCAUAACGUAUUAGUUAUGCACUUCUAUCUAUCAUAUGAAAUAAUCAUCAAUCAGUAAUUUCGUUUCCAA
This is a long non-coding RNA of Medicago truncatula (barrel medic), 446 nucleotides long. RefSeq lists it as uncharacterized. The record is from RefSeq and is a predicted model, not a curated record. NCBI's taxonomy places the organism in Eukaryota, Viridiplantae, Streptophyta, Magnoliopsida, Fabales, Fabaceae. The transcript has 2 exons.